AGUAGAGCAGUGUUAGGGCACUUGGGUUUUUGAUGCUCAAAGGGGUUUUUCAAUAAGAUUCUUUACUG
This 68-nucleotide transfer RNA is filed under the name Xylophaga dorsalis. Its description in RNAcentral is "tRNA-Gln". Lineage: Eukaryota; Metazoa; Mollusca; Bivalvia; Myida; Xylophagaidae. The record is from RNAcentral.